This is a non-coding RNA of Pelobates cultripes (western spadefoot toad), 226 nucleotides long. Lineage: Eukaryota; Metazoa; Chordata; Amphibia; Anura; Pelobatidae. The record is from the annotation of a GenBank genome assembly.
GUCUCACCAGUGUUCUGUACAAUGGCAUGAGCACUUCCCUCUAUCUACUGCAAAUACCUCUCCCUAUACAACCAAGCAUUCUGCUAGCAUUUCCUGCUGCUCUAUUACAUUGUCUGUCUACCUUUAAGUCAUCAGAAAUAAUCACCCCUAAAUCCCUUUCCUCAGAUGUUGAGGUUAGGACUCUAUCAAAUAUUCUGUACUUUGCCCUUGGGUUUUUACAUCCAAG